GACGAACGCUGGCGGCGUGCUUAACACAUGCAAGUCGAACGGAAAGGCCCUGCUUGCAGGGUACUCGAGUGGCGAACGGGUGAGUAACACGUGGGUGAUCUGCCCUGCACUUCGGGAUAAGCCUGGGCAACUGGGUCUAAUACCGGAUAGGAGCCACUUUUUGUGUGUUGGUUGGAAAGUUUUUUCGGUGUAGGAUGAGCUCGCGGCCUAUCAGCUUGUUGGUGGGGUAAUGGCCUACCAAGGCGGCGACGGGUAGCCGGCCUGAGAGGGUGGACGGCCACAUUGGGACUGAGAUACGGCCCAGACGCCUACGGGAGGCAGCAGUGGGGAAUAUUGCACAAUGGGCGCAAGCCUGAUGCAGCGACGCCGCGUGGGGGAUGACGGCCUUCGGGUUGUAAACUCCUUGCGCUAGGGACGAAGCUUUUUGUGACGGUACCUAGAUAAGAAGCACCGGCUAACUACGUG
Molecule: ribosomal RNA, 465 nt
Filed under: uncultured bacterium
Lineage: Bacteria
Description: partial 16S ribosomal RNA
Rfam family: Bacterial small subunit ribosomal RNA
Source: RNAcentral